RNAcentral lists this ribosomal RNA (253 nucleotides) under uncultured Eubacteriales bacterium. Its description in RNAcentral is "uncultured Clostridiales bacterium partial 16S ribosomal RNA". It matches the Rfam family "Bacterial small subunit ribosomal RNA", at positions 524 to 776 of the family's 1533-position model. The record is from RNAcentral. Lineage: Bacteria; Bacillati; Bacillota; Clostridia; Eubacteriales.
UACGUAGGGGGCAAGCGUUAUCCGGAUUUACUGGGUGUAAAGGGAGCGUAGACGGCGUGCCAAGUCUGAUGUGAAAGGCCGGGGCUCAACCCCGGGACUGCAUUGGAAACUGGCAUGCUAGAGUGCCGGAGGGGCAAGCGGAAUUCCUAGUGUAGCGGUGAAAUGCGUAGAUAUUAGGAGGAACACCAGUGGCGAAGGCGGCUUACUGGACUGUAACUGACGCUGAGGCAUGAGAGCAUGGGGAGCAAACAGG